This 497-nucleotide ribosomal RNA is filed under the name uncultured bacterium. RNAcentral describes it as "partial 16S ribosomal RNA". It matches the Rfam family "Bacterial small subunit ribosomal RNA", at positions 28 to 507 of the family's 1533-position model. The record is from RNAcentral.
GGCGAACGCUGGCGGCGUGCCUAAUACAUGCAAGUCGAACGCUGAAGAGAGGAGCUUGCUCUUCUUGGAUGAGUUGCGAACGGGUGAGUAACGCGUAGGUAACCUGCCUUGUAGCGGGGGAUAACUAUUGGAAACGAUAGCUAAUACCGCAUAACAAUGGAUGACACAUGUCAUUUAUUUGAAAGGGGCAAUUGCUCCACUACAAGAUGGACCUGCGUUGUAUUAGCUAGUAGGUGAGGUAAUGGCUCACCUAGGCGACGAUACAUAGCCGACCUGAGAGGGUGAUCGGCCACACUGGGACUGAGACACGGCCCAGACUCCUACGGGAGGCAGCAGUAGGGAAUCUUCGGCAAUGGGGGCAACCCUGACCGAGCAACGCCGCGUGAGUGAAGAAGGUUUUCGGAUCGUAAAGCUCUGUUGUAAGUCAAGAACGGGUGUGAGAGUGGAAAGUUCACACUGUGACGGUAGCUUACCAGAAAGGGACGGCUAACUACGUG